Molecule: long non-coding RNA, 1329 nt
Organism: Carassius gibelio (silver crucian carp)
Lineage: Eukaryota; Metazoa; Chordata; Actinopteri; Cypriniformes; Cyprinidae
Exons: 3
Source: RefSeq, a predicted model, not a curated record
UAUGUGUUUGUUGUAGGUUUAUGCAUUUAAGUGGCUGCUUGUAUCAGCAUUUGUGAUUGCAAUUGUGUGUGUAUGUGUGUUUAUGCUUAUUAUCCACUCCUAUUUGAAUGGAUAAAGCCCUUCUUUUCCAGGCCAUUUCUCUCCAUAUGUCAGGAUCAAGGUCAUGGCAUGUUUUAAUGUUGCCAAAAAAGAGAUAGAUAGAUAGAAAGAAAGCAAGAGAGACGGAGGGAAAAAAAGGAACAAAAAGAAAUGGUCAAACUGGAAAGUCAAGAUUUAUGACAGCAAGAAAAAAAUGCGCGACUGCAAGGAUCUGAUGAGAGACGAACAAGACAUACCCUUCCUGCAACCUAAAGCUAGAAUCUGUGUCUCUCCUUGCGAAGUGCAAUCCAGACUUACAAUGUGACAAGGAGGAGCUCCCUAAUGGGCUCGAUGCAGAGAUGAAAGGUUUCCCCAGUACUCAGCAGAUGUGUCUGAGUUCUUUUGUCCACGGCUGUUUGUUUUGACAGCACGCUAAGAGACAAGAGGCCUGGCGAGCCCAGACAUCCUGGAGAUUUCAAAUCCAUCUCAAAGCCAUUGUCUCAGAGGAUUCGUUCGUCAACAUGGCACAUCGUAAUGUCUGCUGAGAAAGGACACUCUCAGACUAAGAGCCCCCUUCUAUCAUCCAAUCACCUUCAAGUCUGGAUAAGGGGGAACCAACGGUUGCACACUAAAGCCAAUGGAAUCCAAAUGAGUCACGGAUGUGUGAGAAGUGACGUAUAAAAUGGAGGUGUACUAUUGCUAAUGUGGGACAGAACAGAUAUCUGAAGUGCAUCUCAGGACAAGCGGUUUCCUGUAAGUUUUCCCCACUGAUUAUCAACAGAGAAAACACAGAGAAGGUGGCCAAAUCCCUAGGGCCGUAAUUUCAAACAUAUGCGCCUAGAAACAUGUUCAGUUCUAUUUAGCAUCAUCGUUUUAAACUAAAUCUGCUUUAUCACUGACAAAGAGCAACUGUCUGUCUUGACUUGUGAGAUUGACUGAGUUUUUAGUUAUGUUUGAGUGAAGCAUCAACAUUGUUGUAAAAACUAGAAGAAAUAAAAAGCCACAAGUGAGUCAACAGUUGACAUACAGAACUAAUUGGACAGCAGUCUGGAUCAAUUAUAGAUUUUAUAGAUGACAAGCUUUCUUGGCAUGCAAUGAAUCAGGCUCUUUGCAGUAUUUCAAAGACACAAACUGUUUCUUCAUUGACGGCAAGAUGUAGUAUUUCCUAGAAUGGUUUCUCCGGUGUAGUUUAGUUAUGUCAAGCUAAGUGAUUCAGGCAAAUUAAUUUGGAAACUUAAAAAUUGGUUUCAU